CCUACGGGAGGCAGCAGUGAGGAAUAUUGGUCAAUGGACGAGAGUCUGAACCAGCCAAGUCGCGUGAAGGAUGACUGCCCUAUGGGUUGUAAACUUCUUUUAUAUGGGAAUAAAAUGUUCCACGUGUGGGAUUUUGUAUGUACCAUAUGAAUAAGGAACGGCUAACUUCGUGCCAGCCGCCGCGGUAAUACGGAGGAUCCGAGCGUUAUCCGGAUUUAUUGGGUUUAAAGGGAGCGUAGGUGGAUUGUUAAGUCAGUUGUGAAAGUUUGCGGCUCAACCGUAGAAUUGCAGUUGAAACUGGCAGUCUUGAGUACAGUAGAGGUGGGCGGAAUUCGUGGUGUAGCGGUGAAAUGCGUAGAUAUCACGAAGAACUCCGAUUGCGAAGGCAGCUCACUGGACUGCAACUGACACUGAGGCUCGAAAGUGUGGGUAUCAAACAGGAUUAGAUACCCCAGUAGUC
Molecule: ribosomal RNA, 460 nt
Filed under: uncultured bacterium
Lineage: Bacteria
Description: partial 16S ribosomal RNA
Rfam family: Bacterial small subunit ribosomal RNA
Source: RNAcentral